UUAGCGGCGGACGGGUGAGUAACGCGUGGAAAACCUGCCGUAUACUGGGGGAUAACACUUAGAAAUAGGUGCUAAUACCGCAUAAGCGCACAGCUUCGCAUGAAGCGGUGUGAAAAACUCUGGUGGUAUACGAUGGUUCCGCGUCUGAUUAGCUAGUUGGUGGGGUAAUGGCCUACCAAGGCAACGAUCAGUAGCCGGCCUGAGAGGGUGAACGGCCACAUUGGGACUGAGACACGGCCCAAACUCCUACGGAAGGCAGCAG
This 262-nucleotide ribosomal RNA is filed under the name uncultured bacterium. RNAcentral describes it as "partial 16S ribosomal RNA". It matches the Rfam family "Bacterial small subunit ribosomal RNA", at positions 92 to 354 of the family's 1533-position model. The record is from RNAcentral.